GGCCGGGAGGAUCUCGGAGGGAGUCUCAGCUCAGGGAAACCGAGGGCGUCCACCUGUGGGAGCCAGAGCUCCCCUCGUGGUACGCUUGCCGAACCCAAACUUCGCAGCCUGAGCCGCGGAAGCGCCGCCUAGGUGGGACCCGACGGUGGGAGGGGUCGCCUGAGAGUGCGGCGGGUGGCAGGACCCAGUCCUGUAUCCUGAUCAACUACAGGAUCAUUCUAUAACUUGGAGACAGUCCCCAA
This 242-nucleotide long non-coding RNA is filed under the name Fukomys damarensis (Damara mole-rat). RNAcentral describes it as "lncRNA (ENSFDAG00000028853.1)". The record is from RNAcentral. Lineage: Eukaryota; Metazoa; Chordata; Mammalia; Rodentia; Bathyergidae.